RNAcentral lists this unclassified non-coding RNA (240 nucleotides) under soil metagenome. RNAcentral describes it as "partial contains 5.8S ribosomal RNA, internal transcribed spacer 2, and large subunit ribosomal RNA". The record is from RNAcentral.
AACGCACGAGACCUGCGGACCUGCGGAGGGAUCAUUACCGAGUUUACAACUCCCAAACCCAAUGUGAACGUUACCAAACUGUUGCCUCGGCGGGAUCUCUGCCCCGGGUGCGUCGCAGCCCCGGACCAAGGCGCCCGCCGGAGGACCAACCAAAAACUCUUCUGUAUACCCCCUCGCGGGUUUUUUAUACCUGAGCCAUCUCGGCGCCUCUCGUAGGCGUUUCGAAAAUGAAUCAAAACU